UAGGCUAGGUUCGAGGGAACAGAAAGUUGGAACCCAACCACUGCGAGGCGUGGCCAACCGCGUCACAUUGCUCAAUCGACUCCCCUUAGAAGCCCGCCAUCCCUUCUCUGCCAUUUCUCACCUUCCUUCGCGGCAUUGCCGGCGGCUGCAGCCCGACGGUCCCGAUUCGGGCGGCGGCAGCACCAGCAGGAACGGGGGCUCCGGCGGGCUCCGUGGCGGCCUCUGUAACAGUUCCAAACGCUGCGGACGAUCCCAAGUGCCUCCUGCCUCUCAGCGUCUAGAGCCUUCUGCGCAGGCGCCGCGGGCUGGAAGCGCCUUUUCCUUCACUUCCGGCUGAGGCUUGCGUCACCUGACCUUUAAGCCAGUGAGAAUACAAGGAAGUUCGAAACUUGUACUGAGGCUAGUCAGCGCCAUUUUGGAAUUGGGCAGGAGACGACACCAAUUGUGAAACCUUGGACUAGACAUUUCUAGAUAGGAAUGCGGCAUCCGUUGUGGAAUUAGGUAGCCAUGAUUGUUUGGGGCAGAAGUCUGGCAGUUGAAGUGGCUAAGCAAAUAAGAACGUAGCUGGUAGCGAGCACGUUGGACUCUAAGGCAAGCUUCCCUUCUUCAGAAUACCUGAUCUAACUGUAUGGGAACGCCCAAUACAGCUUGGGACUCGGCAAGUGUUUGAGCAGCUACCUUAAUCUAGCUGAAUGUUUUGCUGGUGAGUUCAUUACAAUAAAGCGAUUUUGUUAAAAGAAA
Molecule: long non-coding RNA, 741 nt
Filed under: Rattus norvegicus (Norway rat)
Lineage: Eukaryota; Metazoa; Chordata; Mammalia; Rodentia; Muridae
Description: long non-coding RNA NONRATT004775
Source: RNAcentral